RNAcentral lists this ribosomal RNA (265 nucleotides) under Escherichia coli. RNAcentral's name for it is "partial 23S ribosomal RNA". It matches the Rfam family "Bacterial large subunit ribosomal RNA", at positions 2666 to 2925 of the family's 2925-position model. The record is from RNAcentral. RNAcentral also lists the same sequence under 1 other name. Lineage: Bacteria; Pseudomonadati; Pseudomonadota; Gammaproteobacteria; Enterobacterales; Enterobacteriaceae.
GGGGGGCUGCUCCUAGUACGAGAGGACCGGAGUGGACGCAUCACUGGUGUUCGGGUUGUCAUGCCAAUGGCACUGCCCGGUAGCUAAAUGCGGAAGAGAUAAGUGCUGAAAGCAUCUAAGCACGAAACUUGCCCCGAGAUGAGUUCUCCCUGAGACUUUAAGUCUCCUGAAGGAACGUUGAAGACGACGACGUUGAUAGGCCGGGUGUGUAAGCGCAGCGAUGCGUUGAGCUAACCGGUACUAAUGAACCGUGAGGCUUAACCUU